This 480-nucleotide ribosomal RNA is filed under the name uncultured bacterium. Its description in RNAcentral is "partial 16S ribosomal RNA". It matches the Rfam family "Bacterial small subunit ribosomal RNA", at positions 29 to 506 of the family's 1533-position model. The record is from RNAcentral.
UUGAACGCUGGCGGCAUGCUUUACACAUGCAAGUCGAGCGGCAGCGCGGGGCAACCUGGCGGCGAGCGGCGAACGGGUGAGUAAUAUAUCGGAACGUACCCUGUCGUGGGGGAUAACACAUCGAAAGAUGUGCUAAUACCGCAUACGAUCUACGGAUGAAAGCAGGGGACCGCAAGGCCUUGCGCGGACGGAGCGGCCGAUGGCAGAUUAGGUAGUUGGUGGGAUAAAAGCUUACCAAGCCGACGAUCUGUAGCUGGUCUGAGAGGACGACCAGCCACACUGGGACUGAGACACGGCCCAGACUCCUACGGGAGGCAGCAGUGGGGAAUUUUGGACAAUGGGCGCAAGCCUGAUCCAGCCAUGCCGCGUGAGUGAAGAAGGCCUGCGGGUUGUAAAGCUCUUUCAGACGGAAAGAAAUCGGGCGCGUGAAUAGCGUGCCUGGAUGACGGUACUGUCAGAAGAAGCACCGGCUAACUACGU